This 1206-nucleotide long non-coding RNA is filed under the name Anolis carolinensis (green anole). RNAcentral describes it as "lncRNA (ENSACAG00000034946.1)". Lineage: Eukaryota; Metazoa; Chordata; Lepidosauria; Squamata; Anolidae. The record is from RNAcentral.
AUGGGCCCUUCAUCAACUUCGAGUUCGGUGGCUUCGGCCAUUUCCACUCGAUCCCGCCUGGCUUCGCCGCCAUCUUCUUCCGCCAUGAAGAUUGCCUUCAAGAGGGCUCAGGAGGAAUCCAGACGGGCUCAAUCUGACUCGGCAACUGUGUGCCCGAUUCCCCCGACGCCGGGAAAAUCGCUGAGGGUCGCGUCGAAACAACCCCCAGCAAAGAAACGAAUGAUCCAGAGGUCGUCCUCCUCAGCGUCUUCGAAGAAGGACGUCCCCUCCUCUGGGCCUUCCUCUAGGAGAUCCUCUCCUAUACAACCAGCACAACGCCUCCGCUCCUCUUCCUCUCCUCAUGGUCAGUCCUCGGAUGUGGACGCUCAAGCCUCCCCCGACCGGUCGGUCAGGACAGUUAUUAAGGCUCCCCAGCCGGCACCAUCUCGUCUUCCGGCUCGACAAGAGCUCUUUCCCCCGGCUCAAACACCUGAGAGGGGUAGACAGACGAUGCGCUUAGCCCGCGCCGCCCAGGCCUCCGCGUCCAAGGGCGUUCCUCCACAGCCGGCUCUCCCUGCUCCUGAGGUUAUACCCCAUCAGGACUCUGUGCUUGUUUCUCCUCCCCGGUCCCCUCAAGGGCCCGAGGAGGAUGACCCCGAUAUCGAACGCCCCGAGUCGAUACUCUCCGCCUCCGUUGUUUCUCUCGGUCUCGACCUCUCCCCGCCUCACGACGCCUACGAGGUCGACCCACCUUCCCCGACGGAUAAUAUUCGGGCUUUCUCCGACCAGAUGGUCAGAAUGGCAGACGCUCUGGGGAUGGAAAUUAAACAAACUUCAAAGGCUGUUACCGACCCCGUUUUCAAGAGGGUUCAGGCCCAAGCCCCGCCAGCCACCUUGCUGCCUUUUCUUCCAUACCUCCUGGACGUCAUCCAGGCAUCUUGGAAGACUCCAUCUUCGAUACCUCCAACCUCUAAGAAAAUAGAGGCCUGGUACCGAACCGACGACGAAGCCUUGGAAUGGCUCAAGCAUCACCCUGACCCAAACUCCAUGGUGGUAAAGGCCUCCCAAUUGUCGGGUCGACACUCUGGGAGAAAGCCCAACCUUUCUUCGCCAAGCUUUCUGACGAAGACCGGUCAGUCCUUUCGACCCUCCAACAGGAGGCGGACUCUCUCGCACACCACCAAAUUCAAAUGGCUAAGCAUACUGGUGAUACCGCCGGAAAAAUGA